RNAcentral lists this ribosomal RNA (252 nucleotides) under uncultured bacterium. RNAcentral's name for it is "partial 16S ribosomal RNA". It matches the Rfam family "Bacterial small subunit ribosomal RNA", at positions 526 to 779 of the family's 1533-position model. The record is from RNAcentral.
CGUAGGGGCGAGCGUUGUCCGGAAUUAUUGGGCGUAAAGCGCGCGCAGGCGGUCUCUUAAGUCUGAUGUGAAAGCCCACGGCUCAACCGUGGAGGGUCAUUGGAAACUGGGGGACUUGAGGGCAGGAGAGGAGAGCGGAAUUCCACGUGUAGCGGUGAAAUGCGUAGAGAUGUGGAGGAACACCAGUGGCGAAGGCGGCUCUCUGGCCUGCACCUGACGCUGAGGCGCGAAAGCGUGGGAGCAAACAGGAUU